Molecule: transfer RNA, 76 nt
Filed under: Halocynthiibacter styelae
Lineage: Bacteria; Pseudomonadati; Pseudomonadota; Alphaproteobacteria; Rhodobacterales; Paracoccaceae
Description: tRNA-Gln
Rfam family: tRNA
About the family: Transfer RNA (tRNA) molecules are approximately 80 nucleotides in length. Their secondary structure includes four short double-helical elements and three loops (D, anti-codon, and T loops). Further hydrogen bonds mediate the characteristic L-shaped molecular structure. tRNAs have two regions of fundamental functional importance: the anti-codon, which is responsible for specific mRNA codon recognition, and the 3' end, to which the tRNAs corresponding amino acid is attached (by aminoacyl-tRNA synthetases). tRNAs cope with the degeneracy of the genetic code in two manners: having more than one tRNA (with a specific anti-codon) for a particular amino acid; and 'wobble' base-pairing, i.e. permitting non-standard base-pairing at the 3rd anti-codon position.
Source: RNAcentral
UGGAAGGUAGCUCAACUGGCAGAGCAACGGUUUUUGGUACCGUCGGUUGCAGGUUCGAAUCCUGCCCUUCCAACCA